AUUUUAUUUUAACUACUUUUAUUGUGAUGUUUUUUUUUGUUUUUAUCUUUUAUGUUUUUUCUGUAAAAUGUUUUAAUUUUUUUUUGUUUUUGGUAAAUAUCUAAAAUUUGGUUUUUGAACUGGAUUAGUACCCAGGUAAUCAAAGUUUAUUAAUUCGGGAGUAAGGUUAGGUUUAAACCGAAAAAAUAUUGACUGACUUUGGAUUUUUCUUUGGAAUAUGUUUUGGAGAGCCCUCCUUAUUGGUUUAUUUUUUUAGCUCAUGUAUGAUUGUCUAGUUUUUAUUUUUUUUGUAAUGCUUUUUGUUUUGGCUGUUAAGACAGAUAUAUAUUUGGUUUAUGGAUUUAUUUUGUUUUUUAUGUGUUACUAUUAUUAAGGUUUUUUAUUGGAUUAUUUUUUUAUUUUUUUAUGAAAUGGGAAAAGAAAGUAAUUUUUUUUUUAUGUUUUGGUGAAUUUCAAGAAC
RNAcentral lists this ribosomal RNA (460 nucleotides) under Dipetalonema gracile. RNAcentral's name for it is "partial 12S ribosomal RNA". The record is from RNAcentral. Lineage: Eukaryota; Metazoa; Nematoda; Chromadorea; Rhabditida; Onchocercidae.